Long non-coding RNA from Ornithodoros turicata, 846 nucleotides. RefSeq lists it as uncharacterized. Lineage: Eukaryota; Metazoa; Arthropoda; Arachnida; Ixodida; Argasidae. The transcript has 2 exons. The record is from RefSeq and is a predicted model, not a curated record.
UGAACCACAAGCAGCUGAGAACUCGCAGACCGUGCAGAGCGCUAAGAUGGUCCAGUUUUGUUCCCUCCUUGAACACUCGGCCCAGACUCCGGGUCAGCGAGAAAGCCGUUGUGAAGCGUGCGAAGAAUGCUGCGGAAGAAGUGAUUUCAGCCAUUAUGCCUCCAUUGAACACCAUUUGCAGAAGAUCCGAAAGACUCACGAAGAUGGUCGGGACCGGUAGAGAUCAAGGGGCUUCCGGCAGUGUGGCGUCCUUAGCUACGAAGCCGGUGAAGCUUGGACACGUCACCUGCGCCGCUCGAUGAGAGCCACCUUCGGGGUGGUAUCGAAUUUUCCUGAUUUUUUUAUCGUGAUCCACCCACCAUUGGGGUCCACCGAGUUUGACAUUCCCGUGCAGACGUGCGACGUAUACACGACGUCAGUGUGACGACAUUGUGACUAUACGAGGGCGUUCCUUUGGCGCCAGGCUUCACCCGCUCCUGCUGCAGAAUUAUUUCUGUUCCACUAGCCGCUACAGAAAAUGCGUGUGGCGGAUGUGUGGAAGAGGCCGCUGACACGUGACCAUCCUGGCGACAGCGUCAUGGAUACGUCACGCGAGCUGAUGGGGAGAUUCUCCCGCUUCCUCAUCGCCGUCUGUGCGGGCCCACCGGCUACUCUCAGGACGAAACACACAUAACUCUAGAAAGUAGUACGAUUUCCAGCAAGAGGGCUUGCAGAAGAGUGUGUGGUCAAAUGCUCCCAUCACACAUUUAUUUCAAUUACGCUAGAGAGGGGAAGCUUACCGCUCUAAUUAGAGGGAACAUUAGGAGCAUUCUUUUAUACGUAUACUAAAUACUUUACUACUUUCGA